Molecule: ribosomal RNA, 253 nt
Filed under: uncultured Eubacteriales bacterium
Lineage: Bacteria; Bacillati; Bacillota; Clostridia; Eubacteriales
Description: uncultured Clostridiales bacterium partial 16S ribosomal RNA
Rfam family: Bacterial small subunit ribosomal RNA
Source: RNAcentral
UACGUAGGGGGCAAGCGUUAUCCGGAUUUACUGGGUGUAAAGGGAGCGUAGACGGCAGCGCAAGUCUGGAGUGAAAUGCCGGGGCCCAACCCCGGAACUGCUCUGGAAACUGUGAAGCUGGAGUGCAGGAGAGGUAAGCGGAAUUCCUGGUGUAGCGGUGAAAUGCGUAGAUAUCGGGAGGAACACCAGUGGCGAAGGCGGUUUACUGGACCACAACUGACGCUGAGACACGAAAGCGUGGGGAGCAAACAGG